AGCUAAUACUUGCUUUAGCACUCUUGAUUAAGUUCUUGAGUGUGUACUUGUUAAGCCUUUUAAGAAAAAAGUUAUUAACUUAAGGAAUUAUAACAAAGAAGUAACACGUAAUGGAUCCGUCCAUUUUUAGUGUGUAUCAAUCGAGCUUCUGACCUAUCAGCUUUUGAUGUUAGGGUAUUGGCCUAGCAUGGCUAUGACGGGUAACGGGGAAUUAGAGUUCGAUUCCGGAGAGGGAGCCUGAGAAAUAGCUACCACAUCUAAGGAAGGCAGCAGGCGCGUAAAUUACCCAAUUCUAAAGAAGAGAGGUAGUGACAAGAAAUAACAAUACAAGGCCAAUCUGGCUUUGUAAUUGGAAUGAUGGGAAUUUAAAACCUUCCCAAAACUCAGUUGGAGGGCAAGUCUGGUGCCAGCAGCCGCGGUAAUUCCAGCUCCAAUAGCGUAUAUUAAAAUUGUUGCAGUUAAAACGCUCGUAGUUGAAUUUCAAAGAAUCGAUAUUUUAAGUAACGCUUUUAGCUUAAUCCACAUAACUGAUACUACGUAUCGACUUUGUGCGCAUUUUGCUAUUAUGUGUUCUUUUAAUUAAAAUGAUUCUUUUUAAGGUCUUUCUUUUGCUCCGGCAUUUGAAGAUCUUGUUACUUUGAGUAAAUUAGAGUGUUCAAAGCAAACAGAUAUAGCAUUGCGCGUUUGAAUACUACAGCAUGGAAUAACAAAAUUGAACAAGUCAGAAUUUUGUUCUUUUUUCUUAUUUUGGCUUAGUUACGAUUAAUAGGAGUAGCUUGGGGGCAUUUGUAUUCAAAUGUCAGAGGUGAAAUUCUUAGAUUUUCUGGAGACAAACAACUGCGAAAGCAUUUGCCUAAAAUACUUCCAUUAAUCAAGAACGAAAGUUAAGGGAGUGAAGACGAUCAGAUACCGUCGUAAUCUUAACCAUAAACUAUGCCGACUAGGCUUUGGAUGAAAGAUUUUAAAAUAAGA
Molecule: ribosomal RNA, 972 nt
Filed under: Plasmodium cynomolgi
Lineage: Eukaryota; Apicomplexa; Aconoidasida; Haemosporida; Plasmodiidae
Description: SSU rRNA
Rfam family: Eukaryotic small subunit ribosomal RNA
Source: RNAcentral